GCCCAUUUGGCUCAGUAGAUAGAGCAUUAGCCUGCAGACUGAAGGGUCCCAGGUUCAAUUCUUGGUUGUGGGCU
RNAcentral lists this transfer RNA (74 nucleotides) under Myotis brandtii (Brandt's bat). It matches the Rfam family "tRNA". From Rfam's summary of the family: Transfer RNA (tRNA) molecules are approximately 80 nucleotides in length. Lineage: Eukaryota; Metazoa; Chordata; Mammalia; Chiroptera; Vespertilionidae. The record is from Rfam by way of RNAcentral.